AUUGAACGCUGGCGGAAUGCUUUACACAUGCAAGUCGAGCGGCAGCGCGGCCUUCGGGCUGGCGGCGAGCGGCAAACGGGUGAGUAAUGCAUCGGAACAUGCCCAGUCGUGGGGGAUAACACUUCGAAAGGAGUGCUAAUACCGCAUACGUCCUGAGGGGGAAAGCGGGGGAUCGCAAGACCUCGCGCGAUUGGAGUGGCCGAUGUCAGAUUAGCUAGUUGGUGGGGUAAAGGCCUACCAAGGCGACGAUCUGUAGCUGGUCUGAGAGGAUGAUCAGCCACACUGGGACUGAGACACGGCCCAGACUCCUACGGGAGGCAGCAGUGGGGAAUUUUGGACAAUGGGGGCAACCCUGAUCCAGCCAUUCCGCGUGAGUGAAGAAGGCCUUCGGGUUGUAAAGCUCUUUCGGCAGGAACGAAACGGUGGGCUCUAACAUAGUCCGCUAAUGACGGUACCUGAAGAAGAAGCACCGGCUAACUACGUG
RNAcentral lists this ribosomal RNA (484 nucleotides) under uncultured bacterium. RNAcentral's name for it is "partial 16S ribosomal RNA". It matches the Rfam family "Bacterial small subunit ribosomal RNA", at positions 30 to 507 of the family's 1533-position model. The record is from RNAcentral.